RNAcentral lists this unclassified non-coding RNA (276 nucleotides) under uncultured Ascomycota. RNAcentral describes it as "sequence contains ITS2". Lineage: Eukaryota; Fungi; Ascomycota. The record is from RNAcentral.
AACGCACAUUGCGCCUCUUGGUAUUCCAGGAGGCACGCCUGUCCGAGCGCCAUUAUCGCCACCCAAGCCUAGCUUGAUGUUGGUCGAUAUGCUGGUAACAAAGCAUACGACUGGAACGAAUUGGCGUCCUGUUAUGGAUCUCCGAGUGUGACAAAAACAAAUCACUUGGUGUAGAAGUAACGGGGUAGCUCUCACAACCAACCUACAUGAUGUCGUAAUAAGCAUUGUGUGUCACGGGUUGGCCUCGGAUCAGGCGGGGAUACCCGCUGAACUUAA